UAUAGGAAGACUAUGUAGGUUACAUGCAGGGAGGUGUGACUAGGGCUGCAUAAACAAAGUGAUUUAAGUCCUAAAUGGCAGAGAAUUGAACAGUUAGACUGCAGGGGCAUGAUAUAUAGACCAAAACCACUCCCUUAAGCUGAAGUUGUUUUGAUGCUGAAUUGAAAUAUUUAUUUAUUUUUUUUCUGACAGCUGAACACAGGCACAGGACACAAUUCAGAAUGAU
Non-coding RNA from Pelobates cultripes (western spadefoot toad), 226 nucleotides. The record is from the annotation of a GenBank genome assembly. Lineage: Eukaryota; Metazoa; Chordata; Amphibia; Anura; Pelobatidae.